This is a non-coding RNA of Acanthosepion pharaonis, 95 nucleotides long. NCBI's taxonomy places the organism in Eukaryota, Metazoa, Mollusca, Cephalopoda, Sepiida, Sepiidae. The record is from the annotation of a GenBank genome assembly.
CAACAUCGGUUCCCGUACGAUCACCGAAGUUAAGCAACAUCGAAUCUGGUCAGUACCUAGAUGGGUGACUGAUUGGAAAUACCGGGUGCCGUAAG